UUUUGGAGAUGGGUUGCCGAAAGGAUGGAAGAUUUUGUUGGGUUUGAAGAGGAAGGAUGGGAUUGUGUACUUGAAUUGCCGGAGAUAUGUUAGGUGGUUGAUAAAUCGACCGAAGGAAGAACAACCCAUGAUUUUUUUUGAAACAGAUAAUAUGGUUUAGAUUUAAGAUGAACGAUUAGCUGAAAGGAGUAGAGCAUGAAAUAGGAGGAGAGAUGCAUAAACAGUCGUACAUGUUAUGGGCUCUGUGAUGAUAUUGGAGGCGUGAUGAUCGAUGAGAAUGAUAGCGUGCGUAGAGAAAAUGAUGGUGCAGAGCUCUAUGGAGCCAGUAGUACAGGAACUCGACAGGGCCUGUGCGCAUCAGAGCGAUAACGGUUGCACCACUGUUCUUCCAUAGAGGCAGAUGAUCAGCGCCAGGAAAUAUGGAGUAGCCCAGUGAAAAAGUAUCGAUCAGUGCAUUUUUCCUACGUAUCUUGCCCCCAGAUAGUUUGAGAAAACAGCAGUAAGGCGUGCGCACCAUGUUCGGCAACUCCGACAUAAAACAAGGAGCCUGUCAAUGGAGCCUAUCAAUGGAGCCUGCCAAUGGACAACGAAGUCUCAAACCUGUCAACCACAGACAUGUGACUGAUAUGCAAGUGAAGAUUUGAUGUGCAAAUCCUUGGAACAUUAGAGGGGUUAAUUGCAAGUGUUACAUGUCCAGCUCAGCAGCUCCUCAGCAGUAUUAACUGCUUCCAUUUUCUGUUUUGUUUGUUAGAUUGGUGCACGUGCACGAACAGAGUGCGUUUCCUUUUCUUUUGAGAGGAGGUUUGGAUUUGUAUAAAAGGAGAUCGAGCUGUAGAAAUCUGAAUGUUUUAGGAAAUGAAAUGAAUUGAUUUCUUCUUCUCAA
Molecule: long non-coding RNA, 883 nt
Organism: Asparagus officinalis (garden asparagus)
Lineage: Eukaryota; Viridiplantae; Streptophyta; Magnoliopsida; Asparagales; Asparagaceae
Exons: 6
Source: RefSeq, a predicted model, not a curated record